Molecule: ribosomal RNA, 329 nt
Filed under: uncultured eukaryote
Lineage: Eukaryota
Description: partial 18S ribosomal RNA
Rfam family: Eukaryotic small subunit ribosomal RNA
Source: RNAcentral
CCCUUAGAUGUUCUGGGCCGCACGCGCGCUACACUGACGAUGGCAACGAGUUUUUCAUUCGCCGAAAGGUGUGGGUAAUCUUUUGAAACAUCGUCGUGCUGGGGAUAGAUCAUUGCAAUUUUUGAUCUUGAACGAGGAAUUCCUAGUAAGCGCGAGUCAUCAGCUCGCGUUGAUUACGUCCCUGCCCUUUGUACACACCGCCCGUCGCUACUACCGAUUGAAUGGUUUAGUGAGGACUCCUGAUUGGCGCCGCCGCCCCGGCAACGGAGCAGCGGACUGCCGAAAAGUUGUUCAAACUUGAUCAUUUAGAGGAAGUAAAAGUCGUAACA